RNAcentral lists this ribosomal RNA (165 nucleotides) under Veronica macrantha. RNAcentral's name for it is "5.8S ribosomal RNA". It matches the Rfam family "5.8S ribosomal RNA". Rfam says of the family: 5.8S ribosomal RNA (5.8S rRNA) is a component of the large subunit of the eukaryotic ribosome. Lineage: Eukaryota; Viridiplantae; Streptophyta; Magnoliopsida; Lamiales; Plantaginaceae. The record is from RNAcentral.
UAAACGACUCUCGGCAACGGAUAUCUCGGCUCUCGCAUCGAUGAAGAACGUAGCGAAAUGCGAUACUUGGUGUGAAUUGCAGAAUCCCGUGAACCAUCGAGUCUUUGAACGYAAGUUGCNCNCGAAGCCUUCUGGCUGAGGGCACGCCUGCCUGGGCGUCACGCN